This 326-nucleotide long non-coding RNA is filed under the name Ursus maritimus (polar bear). Its description in RNAcentral is "lncRNA (ENSUMAG00000023385.1)". The record is from RNAcentral. Lineage: Eukaryota; Metazoa; Chordata; Mammalia; Carnivora; Ursidae.
GCCUUCUGGGACGGCACAGUUUGGAGGGGCAGCCAGGCAAGUCAACAGACGAUUUCAAUUUAGUAUGAUUGGAAGAUGCGAUCCAGCCGGGUGCUGAGUGGAGCUGCCCUGAACCUAGUCGGAGGAUGGACGACAAAUGGCUUCUGAGCAGUGGAAAUUCCAGCCCCAAGAGAGAGGAAGAAAAUGAGCUUUCUGUAGCAAGGGCUGAAGCCACCAAGACUGUGGUAUCUGAUUGGCUAAUGUGUUAUAUUUUGAGUGAGGACUGACAAGAGCCUUAUGUGAAACCAUUAUGUGAUUCUGUGGAAGAUACCUCCCUUAUUUCUUAC